AUAUGGGGCACAUUGGAAUCUGUGUUUUUAUUUUUAUUUUUUUUCUUUCUUUCCUUUUUAAUUUUUAAUGACCAAAACAAAGCAUCUAAAACCGCAGCUUCUGGAAGAACCACUUGUUCUUGCCUGUCUUGCAUCUCUCUUCAAACUUGACCUUGGCCUCUCGUCGGGCCUUGCGUUUAAGAGCAGGAUCUCUGAAGACAUCCUUAUUGAUGACAGUUUUGUCCAAGGGGAUAUCCACAGAGUACCUUCACGAUGACGGCUUUGCGUCCAGAGUAGCGUCCAGCCAGGGCAAGCACCACCCUCCCAGGUUUCAUGAACUUGCCCGUUUCGGCAGCAAGCACUCAGGCCUACAGCAAAAAGGAAAGAAGAACCGGAAUCUGUGUUUCUAAAUUACAAUAACUCACAAGCUUUGCAACAAAAGAGUUGAGGGUUAAAUAAAAGUUGCAAUAUUGAAAUGUUAUUAAAUGAUGUAUAAAAUUUAUGAUGAAUACUUUCAAAUAAUACAGUAGCAGCCAAAUAAAUUGAAUGAGGGUAAAAAUUUACAUUUUUUUCCUCUCUGGAAAGAGAUCCCACAUACCCUUCAAUACAAAUGUAAAGCAAACAGCAAUUACAGUUUAUUUUUCAACUCACAGAAGGGGCUCUUUAGAUUGUGGGUCUUUUUGAGCUUGUUAAAUUCCUUCGUUCAGCUUUAAUUUGAGAAUCAGCAGGAUACAAUAGUAAGUGUCCGAUGUAGGAACUUUGUCUUAUUACUCAACCUUCAGUGGCUUAAAACUGUUUCCACAUGAGUAAAAGAAGUAGUAGGUUUCAUCCUAAAUGGCAUGUUAUAAUUUUGCCAUGUGUCUAUGUGGUGCUAUGAAGCCACUGGAGUUCAUGUCCAUAUAACCCUGGCAGUUACAGUUUUAAAUGCCAUGGAAUAAACUCCAAGAGAAAUUUCUCAAUCUUUCUGAUUUGCUUUUAACAGUUGAGUUAAUUCUAUGAGUAUUUAGCUAGCCAGUAUAAACUGUUGUAAAGGAUGUUUACCAGACUGAUCAAUCACAUCUACUUGGUCACAGUUAAUUAACAUCUAAACAGACUCAGUGUGGGAGAGGAUGAGAAGGAAGAAUUCAUCCUUCUUCAUUGUGCCUCUAGGAAAGAUUUAAAGUUGUUUAUUUUAUUUCAAACAAUGUAUUGACAGUAAGACUGUUCAUUAUUACUCAUUGCAAUUAGACUAGAAGUAGUCUGUUUCAUUGAAAAUUAAUAAUGUGACUACCUAUUAUUCAUUAAGAGCCCAAAAUUAAGAAGCAAGCAAACAAGCCAAAAAAAAAAAGAAAAAAAAAGAUCUAUAAUCCCACCACCAAGAACAAUGGAUAUCAUUUCAGAGUA
This 1362-nucleotide long non-coding RNA is filed under the name Macaca mulatta (Rhesus monkey). Its description in RNAcentral is "lncRNA (ENSMMUG00000061845.1)". The record is from RNAcentral. Lineage: Eukaryota; Metazoa; Chordata; Mammalia; Primates; Cercopithecidae.